RNAcentral lists this long non-coding RNA (2247 nucleotides) under Homo sapiens (human). RNAcentral's name for it is "non-protein coding lnc-ACPP-1:1". The record is from RNAcentral. Lineage: Eukaryota; Metazoa; Chordata; Mammalia; Primates; Hominidae.
AUGAAUGAAAAUAAACCUGGUGACUCACAGAACCUUGAACAAGGUCCAUUUUAACCCCUCUUGGACCAGUAAUCUGGACCAGGAACAUGGGCCACCCCAAGACCACUGCCCAGCUGGGCAGUGGGGAAUAGUAGGUGGCUUGUGUUUUCUGUCGAAAAAAGGAUGAGUGUCCUAAUAAAUAUGGAGAAAAGAAAACUAAGGAGAAAUGGAAUCUCACCGUACAUUAUUAUUCUUUGUUGAUGUCAAGUGGAAUUUGGCAGAGAGGUAAAGAAGGAGUUUGUGGUUUUCUAUUAGAAGAUACCAGGAAGGAAGUGAAUAGAGUUUCUAAACUGAAAUGCUGUCUUUGCAAGAAAAAUGGUGCUUCAGUUGGAUGUGUUGCACCCUAAUGUAAACGAAGUUAUUUCCCAUGUGGACUUCAGAGAGAAUGUAUUUUCCAGUUUACUGGCAAUUUCACAUCAUUUUGUUGGAACCAUCGACCUGUUCAAAUAAUUACAUCUAAUAAUUAUAGAGACUCCUUACCAUGCACCAUUUGCUCAGAAUUUAUUGAGCCUAUUCUAAGUUAUAACAUAUUACAAAGUGCUUGUUGUAAGAACGCUUGGUUUCAUAGAGACUGUUUACAGGUUCAAGCAAUAAAUGCAGGAGUGUUUUUCUUUAGGUGUACAAUAUGCAAUAAUAGUGACAUCUUUCAGAAAGAGAUGUUGAGAAUGGGAAUUCAUAUUCCUGAAAAAGAUGCAUCCUGAGAAUUAGAGGAAAAUGCUUAUCAAGAGCUUCUGCAGCACUAUGAGCAUUGUGAUGUUCAAAGAUGUCAUUGCAAAGAAGGGUGAGACUAUAAUGUACCUGAUAGCAAAUGGGAAAUAAAGCGCUGUCAGUGUUGUGGUUCCAGUGACACACACUUAGCCUGCUCUUCACUACGGUCAUGGGAACAAAAUUGGGAGUUUUUGGAAUGUAGGGGUAUUAUCUACAGUUCAGGAGUGUUCCAAAAAGCCAAAAACAUGUAUUAUCCAACUCUAAUAAUGUGGGGAUUACAGAUUGUUGGAAGAGUCAUCACCUAAAUUACCCAGACAGUCACCUGUAUUCCAGAGUAAAGAUCUACUGAGGAAAGGCAGCAAAUUUAGAAGGAAUGUAUCAACACUAUUAAUGAGUUAGGAUUCCAAAUUUAAAAAAAAACUACAAGAUUAUGUAUCAACAAAGCCAAUAUCUGGAAUCGUGCCUUAGAUGGAUUCAGAAAUCAAAACUUUAAUCCUUCAUAUGCAAUUGAAGUAGCAUACGUUAUUGAAAAUGAUAAUUUUGGAAGUGGACAUCCUGGAUCAAAGCAAGAAUUUCUGAGUGUCUUAAUGCAACAUCUUGAGAACUCAUCGUUGUUUGAAGGGUCCUUGUCAAAGAACUUAUCUCUAAAUUCUCAAGCUCUGAAAGGGAAUCUUUACUAUGAAGCUGGCAAAAUGCUUGCCAUUUAUUUAGUUCAUGGUGGUCCUUCACCUGGUUUCUUUUCUAAAACCUUGUUUAACUGCCUUGUUUAUGGACCAAAAAAUACCCAGCCAAUUUUAGAUGAUGUUUCAGACUUUGUUGUGGCACAGAUUAUAAUCAGGAUAAAUACUGCAACAACAAAACAAUCAGGACAAAUUACUGACUUAAAGUCAGUAAUAAAUGAAUGCUAUAACUACCCUGAGUUAAUUGGAUAUCUCAGAUUUAUAACGACAUUAAGUGAUAAAUAUAUGGUGGUAAAAGACAUACUUGUCUACCAUGUAAUUCAGAGUCUAAGCACCCUUUGAAAGUUUUAAGUAGGGUCUGAAAACCUGGUGUUUUGGAGAAAAUUCAGGCUUAACCAGAAGCAUUUUGUAGCAUCCUGUGUCGUAAACCUGAGAGUCUUUCUGCAAAAAUCCUUAGUGAUCUUUUUACAGUACACACAUUACCUGAUGUAAAAGCUUUGGGGUUUUGGAACAGUUACUCAUAGGCUGUUGAAGAUGGUAAAUCUACAACAACAAUGGAAGAUAUUAUUAUUUUUUGGUUGCAGUUCCAUUCCUCCAGCUGGAUUUAAACCCACUCCUUCAAUUGAGUGUUUGCAUGUGGAUUUUCCUGUUGGAAACAAGUGUGAUAACUGUUUAGCAAUUCCAAUCACCAAUACAUAUAAAGAGUUUCAAGAAAAUAUGGACUUUACCAUAAGAAACACUCUAAGACUAGAAAAGGAAGAAAGUUCUCAUUACAUUGGACAUUAAAAUGUUUCCUUGAACAAAGAGAAGCUUCUUUAAA